UACGUAGGGUGCGAGCGUUGUCCGGAAUUAUUGGGCGUAAAGAGCUCGUAGGCGGUGUGUCACGUCGAUCGUGAAAACUUUCAGCUUAACUGGGAGCUUGCGGUCGAUACGGGCAUCACUGGAGUUCGGCAGGGGAGACUGGAAUUCAAGGUGUAGCGGUGAAAUGCGCAGAUAUCCUGAGGAACACCGGUGGCGAAGGCGGGUCUCUGGGCCGAUACUGACGCUGAGGAGCGAAAGCGUGGGGAGCGAACAGG
This 254-nucleotide ribosomal RNA is filed under the name uncultured bacterium. RNAcentral describes it as "partial 16S ribosomal RNA". It matches the Rfam family "Bacterial small subunit ribosomal RNA", at positions 524 to 776 of the family's 1533-position model. The record is from RNAcentral.